This 509-nucleotide unclassified non-coding RNA is filed under the name Hevea brasiliensis (rubber tree). The record is from RNAcentral. Lineage: Eukaryota; Viridiplantae; Streptophyta; Magnoliopsida; Malpighiales; Euphorbiaceae.
UUUGGACCAACAAUCCCAUCAAAAAGGGAAACACAUUUUGCAUAAUUAGGUUCUUCAUCAAACUUCAAGUUCACCACAUAUUCAACAAACUGUUUGAAAGGCUGCGGACAGAAGCAACAGAGACCCUCUGGGGAUGUUGCCAUCUUUUUCUUACAAACAAGAAAGCCCUUAUUCUCUCCCUGGUAUCCUUGCCAAGGUAAACGACCUCGGAGAAGGAAAAUGAGGGUGUAAGCAAGCGAUUCUAAAUCAUCUCUUCUACUAGCUGUUCUUCCCAAAUGGGCAUGCACACUAGCAUAACGAACUGUUCCUCUAAAAACAUCCGGCCUUUGAUCAUACUCAACAUGAAGACCACUUGAAGUAUCUCGCCAUCUGGUGGCUAAUCCAAGAUCAACAAGAAAUAACUUUUUCUCAUCAGGAGUUCCAGGAGAUCCAAGCAGAAAAUUCUCCGGCUUUACAUCUCCAUGGACAUAACCUCUAGAAUGCAUCUUCUCCAAUAUUGAUAUUGCUUC